GGCGGACGGGUGAGUAACGCGUGGGUAACCUGCCUUAUACAGGGGGAUAACAGUCAGAAAUGGCUGCUAAUACCGCAUAAGCGCACAGAGCUGCAUGGCUCAGUGUGAAAAACUCCGGUGGUAUAGGAUGGACCCGCGUUGGAUUAGCUGGUUGGUGGGGUAACGGCCCACCAAGGCGACGAUCCAUAGCCGGCCUGAGAGGGUGAACGGCCACAUUGGGACUGAGACACGGCCCAGACUCCUACGGGAGGCAGCAGUGGGGAAUAUUGCACAAUGGGGGAAACCCUGAUGCAGCGACGCCGCGUGAAGGAAGAAGUAUCUCGGUAUGUAAACUUCUAUCAGCAGGGAAGAUAGUGACGGUACCUGACUAAGAAGCCCCGGCUAACUACGUGCCAGCAGCCGCGGUAAUACGUAGGGGGCAAGCGUUAUCCGGAUUUACUGGGUGUAAAGGGAGCGUAGACGGUGUGGCAAGUCUGAUGUGAAAGGCAUGGGCUCAACCUGUGGACUGCAUUGGAAACUGUCAUACUUGAGUGCCGGAGGGGUAAGCGGAAUUCCUAGUGUAGCGGUGAAAUGCGUAGAUAUUAGGAGGAACACCAGUGGCGAAGGCGGCUUACUGGACGGUAACUGACGUU
This 632-nucleotide ribosomal RNA is filed under the name uncultured bacterium. RNAcentral describes it as "bacterial SSU rRNA". It matches the Rfam family "Bacterial small subunit ribosomal RNA", at positions 97 to 747 of the family's 1533-position model. The record is from RNAcentral.